Molecule: long non-coding RNA, 631 nt
Filed under: Heterocephalus glaber (naked mole-rat)
Lineage: Eukaryota; Metazoa; Chordata; Mammalia; Rodentia; Bathyergidae
Description: lncRNA (ENSHGLG00000045385.1)
Source: RNAcentral
GCCUCGCUUUCUGUCUGAGGCGUGGGCACACAACGUCCCCAGGGAGCCUUCUCCCAUCAGCCUCGCCCUGGGGCCCGCUGUCUUCAAACACACACCCGACCCUCAGAAGGCACCCUAAGCAAGCAGCAGCCUUUCGGGGAGCGCACAGGCCACUGUACCGUCCGCUCUCCAGCCUCAGGUUUGGUGGCUCCCUUCCGGCUCCAGUGGAACCUGCCCUUGCAGAGCCCUGAACACACAGCAUGGCUUCAGACAGCCUCACCUUGUACCUGCUACCGGCUCUCCUUGGACUGUCACUCUACCCACCCCUACUCCACGAUUGCGUGAUAAACCCCUAUUCAGCCUUCAGAGCCCGCUUUACAGAGUCCCACUGUGUAGUCCAGGCUGGCCACAGACUAGAGGCGCUCCUCCUGCUUCUCUGAGGCUUCGAUCACAGACCCUGGGGAGAGGUGUGACAUCAACACCAGACAGAAGGAUCCGCGGUCAAAAGAAAUCUUGGGGAGCGGCGAAGGCCAGAGAGAGGCAGCGAGACGGCUCCGCGGUGGAGCCAGACUGAGUUUCGACCCCGGGGCAGGACGAAGGCAGGCCUUUCCUCCCACUGCCUGGUUACUGCCGCCACGACAGACCCUUCGGG